Molecule: ribosomal RNA, 1485 nt
Filed under: uncultured bacterium
Lineage: Bacteria
Description: 16S ribosomal RNA
Rfam family: Bacterial small subunit ribosomal RNA
Source: RNAcentral
UGGCUCAGGAUGAACGCUAGCGACAGGCUUAACACAUGCAAGUCGAGGGGCAGCGGGGGUGAUGGCUUGCCAUCACCUGCCGGCGACCGGCGCACGGGUGAGUAACACGUAUGCAACCUGCCCGCCACAGGGGGAUAAGCGGAAGAAAUUCCGUCUAAUACCGCGUGACGCGGCGCCGGGGCAUCCCGGUGCCGCCAAAGGGAUUACCGGUGGCGGAUGGGCAUGCGGCGCAUUAGCUAGUCGGCGGGGUAACGGCCCACCGAGGCGACGAUGCGUAGGGGUUCUGAGAGGAAGGUCCCCCACACUGGUACUGAGACACGGACCAGACUCCUACGGGAGGCAGCAGUGAGGAAUAUUGGUCAAUGGGCGCGAGCCUGAACCAGCCAAGUCGCGUGAGGGAUGACGGUCCUACGGAUUGUAAACCUCUUUUGCCGGGGAGCAAGCGUGCGUUCGUGAACGCGCGUCGAGAGUACCCGGAGAAAAAGCAUCGGCUAACUCCGUGCCAGCAGCCGCGGUAAUACGGAGGAUGCGAGCGUUAUCCGGAUUUAUUGGGUUUAAAGGGUGCGUAGGCGGGAUGCCAAGUCAGCGGUAAAAAUGCGGUGCUCAACGCCGUCGAGCCGUUGAAACUGGCGUUCUUGAGUGGGCGAGAAGUAUGCGGAAUGCGUGGUGUAGCGGUGAAAUGCAUAGAUAUCACGCAGAACUCCGAUUGCGAAGGCAGCAUACCGGCGCCCUACUGACGCUGAGGCACGAAAGCGUGGGUAUCGAACAGGAUUAGAUACCCUGGUAGUCCACGCAGUAAACGAUGAAUGCUAACUGUCCGGCUCGAAUGAGCGCUGGGCGGUACAGCGAAAGCGUUAAGCAUUCCACAUGGGGAGUACGCCGGCAACGGUGAAACUCAAAGGAAUUGACGGGGGCCCGCACAAGCGGAGGAACAUGUGGUUUAAUUCGAUGAUACGCGAGGAACCUUACCCGGGCUCAAACGCAGGAUGACGGGUCCCGAAAGGGGUCUUUCCUCGGACAUUCUGCGAGGUGCUGCAUGGUUGUCGUCAGCUCGUGCCGUGAGGUGUCGGCUUAAGUGCCAUAACGAGCGCAGCCCCUGUCCACAGUUGCCAGCAGGUAAAGCUGGGGACUCUGUGGAAACUGCCGGCGCAAGCUGCGAGGAAGGCGGGGAUGACGUCAAAUCAGCACGGCCCUUACGUCCGGGGCGACACACGUGUUACAAUGGCAGGUACAGCGGGAUGCCACGGGGCGACCCGGCGCUGAACCCGAAAACCUGUCUCAGUUCGGAUUGGAGUCUGCAACCCGACUCCAUGAAGCUGGAUUCGCUAGUAAUCGCGCAUCAGCCACGGCGCGGUGAAUACGUUCCCGGGCCUUGUACACACCGCCCGUCAAGCCAUGGAAGCCGGGGGUACCUGAGUGCGUGACCGCGAGGAGCGCCCUAGGGUAAAACCGGUGACUGGGGCUAAGUCGUAACAAGGUAACCGU